CCUACGGGAGGCAGCAGUGGGGAAUAUUGGACAAUGGGCGCAAGCCUGAUCCAGCCAUGCCGCGUGUGUGAAGAAGGCCUUCGGGUUGUAAAGCACUUUUAUCCGGAAAGAAAAGCUUUGGGUUAAUACCCUGAAGUCAUGACGGUACCGGAAGAAUAAGCACCGGCUAACUUCGUGCCAGCAGCCGCGGUAAUACGAAGGGUGCAAGCGUUACUCGGAAUUACUGGGCGUAAAGCGUGCGUAGGUGGUUUGUUAAGUCUGAUGUGAAAGCCCUAGGCUCAACCUGGGAAUUGCAUUGGAUACUGGCAGGCUAGAGUGCGGUAGAGGAUAGUGGAAUUCCCGGUGUAGCAGUGAAAUGCGUAGAGAUCGGGAGGAACAUCUGUGGCGAAGGCGACUAUCUGGGCCAGCACUGACACUGAGGCACGAAAGCGUGGGGAGCAAACAGGAUUAGAUACCCUGGUAGUCCACGCCCUAAACGAUGCGAACUGGAUGUUGGGUGCAACUGGCACUCAGUAUCGAAGCUAACGCGUUAAGUUCGCCGCCUGGGGGAGGUACGGUCGCGAGACGUAGAACGUUAAAGUAGUAGUUAGUACGGCGUGAGACGUUGCCGACGGACGACGACGAGGGAGGAGG
RNAcentral lists this ribosomal RNA (633 nucleotides) under uncultured bacterium. RNAcentral's name for it is "bacterial SSU rRNA". The stretch from base 1 to 543 matches the Rfam family "Bacterial small subunit ribosomal RNA", at positions 338 to 873 of the family's 1533-position model. The record is from RNAcentral.